UCUCUCUCUCUCUCUCUCUCUUUCUCUCUUUCUCGUGUUAAUUGUUUCACGUAUUUUAUUUCUCUACCUUGACGUUCCUUUCUCUUGCUUUCCGGAUCUCUUUUAUUUCUCGCAAGACGAUUCGACGAGAUCUCGAACUUUGUCGAAAUUUUCAUAGCUUUAAAAAAAAUAUAAACGGAGGAACAUACGAAAGAGAUUAUGCGAAGGAGAAUAAGAGAAAAAGAGAUGCAAGAAAAAGAAAGACGACGAAAGGAUAUAUGAAAGAGAUAAAGAAAAGGGAAUAGCAAAAUGUCAAUAUUCGACUAUGCGAACACGCAGGUGCAAUACGUACUACUAAUACGAAAUGCGAAAAAAGAAAAGAAAUCUAACAAAAAAAAAGAAAAGGAAUAAAGUGAAAGAAAAAUACUUGCAUACGCAAUUUGCAUAGUAAAUACGUUUUUUCGCAUGAUCAUCAAUUGUUACAAUAGUUAAUCGUCAUCGGUGCCAAGCACCGAUCACUCGCGUACCAUUAACUAAUUAUGUGUAUACGCAGGAGCAGCGAAAGACCGAGUUGUCGAUGUCGAUACUUCUUUUUUUUUUCCAAAAUUUUUUUUAACGCCAUUACUUACGAAACUCCCCUCGUUUUAGCGGCUUUAUUUCGCAAUCGCACGUUAAAAAAGUGGGGAAAAGAAAAACAUUUUUUUCGACGAUCUUUUAAACUGAUCCCAAAUUUUAUUUUGGUAUCGGACAUGGACUUUUUUACGAAAAAAUUUCAAAAACUUCGAUGAAACUUCAGCACAAUCGUGAUUUGACUGUUUUUUUUUAUUUAUUUUUUUUUUCGAUCGAACAAUCGCCGUCCUUCGACUCGCUCUUCGCUGACUUUCGGACUAGAUGCAAGUUAUGGCGGAACCAGGUUCCUAAUAGUAAUUUAGGGAGUGGGGAGAGUGAAAGAUUUUUUUUUCAUCUCAUAUAUUUUGUGACUGACGAGUGGUCUCGGCGGCGCGAGUUAUGGUCGUGGCCGAAUCGGCAGCUCCCAAAGAUCACCAGGAUAUAUCGUUAUACUUUUUUUUUUUCCUAAUUUUAAAUAAUAUAUUAUAUCACCAUCCGCGGACGUCGGCCACGACACGGGCCCGCGCGAACGCCCGAGGGUGUUCUGUUUUCAUUUUCACUUUUUUAUAUAAUAAAACUUACAAAUAAAACCACUCGAUGACUCUUAUCAUUUUAUUUCCAAACACCGUUUUUCUCUGUUCUUUUUUUAAAAUUUAUAUCCCCCCCCCCCAAUGAAAUCCUCUAACCCCUGUCACGCAUUUCUAAUUUUUUUAACUUUUUUUCCGACAAACGUUUCAAGGGUCAUCGUCAUUGCUCCAUGCGGGUAGCGGAUCAUGAAUCAAGAAAAUGAUAUAUUAUCAAGAAAUCGACGGAUCUUAUCGAAAUUUUAGAAGAAAAAAAUUUUUUUCUUCUUUUCAAAUUUGUGGAUGACGUUUUUUUUUUUUCGGAAAAUUAUUAUUUUCAGAAGAAACGAAUGAGAGGAAGCUGAAGAGGAAGGAUUGACAGACGAUGUGAGAUGAAGAAAAAAAAAAAAGAAAAUUUAUGCUCGUUGUGGGAAAUUUUCUAAAAUUUCAUACCACGUGCUCUUAUUUCUUGACUGCGCACUUACGUCAUACGGAACGUUCCAUGGAAUUCUAUGCGAUUAGUGAUUCGAUGCAAUAAAGUCGUGCAACGAACGUUUGUCUUGAAGGAGACGAAGAUAAAAGGAAAGAAAAAGAAAAAAUUAAUAACGUCAAAUUAUCCAUCGUCGCAGGAAGUUACGAUUUUCGUCGAAUAUCGAAUCAGUAAGGAUUUCAAGAGUAAAGAAAUUAAACUCGUAAUUGAUUAUCACGAGUAUCCGUAAAUUUUCCUUGGCCUCCUGAAAGCUAUAGUACCUUCGCGCUAACUGCGGCAAAGUCUUGAAAUCGAAUCAGUGUCACUCGGUAACUUUGGCGAACAAGGUCAACGGGAUAAAAAAAACAGGUGACUAUCGUCAUUAUAUACCCGGGAGAAAACAUUCUCGCGUAACCGCGAUAAUUAGUCAUCGAUUAACUGACAUUACCAAGAACUGCACCGAUUGGACAAAAAUUUAUUUAAUAAUAAAAUUCGAUAUUUUCGUAAAACGGCUUUGCCAUAAAUUUUAAUUUUCUUCUACGAUUUUAUUAUUUUUGUUUACGUCAAUCUUUUUUCUUUAAUUCUUUUUUCUUUAUCUUUAAAUCUUUACUAUCCCAUUCACGAUCAGCAUUGCCUAUUAUUUUUUCUUUAUUCAAUUAUUCGACUUUUCUACUUUCUUGCCCCUUGCAAUUUACUCCAUUCUUUUCUAUUCCAGUCUUCUCUCUUAUUAUUUCUCCUUUAGAUUUCUCCUCUCGUCCGGUCUCUUCUCUUCUCUUCUCUUCUCUUCUCUUCUCUUCUCUUACCAAGAGAGCCCUUGCUUGUCCUCCUCCCGAAUCCAGUCAGACCGGUUCGGUCGGGGCGUUAGAUUUUCGCGUGAUCGCACUUUCGGUUUCGGAAUAUUCUGUCCUUGGAACGAGUCUCGGCGCUGCCAACCUCAGCGACGCGAUACGCGACGCCCGGGAUCGGGAUCGACGAUCCAAAGGAACAAGAUCACGUUUCCACUGAUUAUUUCGUGAGCCUUGUUUCCAUUUUAUUGAGAACGUCUACUAUAUUUUACAUUAAAAUCAGACGAGUACCAACCUAAGCGACGUAAAUUGGUGGUCCGCACGUCGUCCAAUUAUCGGGACGCCGAGACGCCGGCGGACUGAAUGUAUCCUUUGUUGUAUAAGAAUUUAAGAAGUUGAUGACUUAACGAGUGUGCAUACAAUGAUCUCCCAAUGUCGUCGUUGACGUCGAUAUGAGUUUUCUUUCUCUUUGGAAAUUAAAAAAAAAGAAAAUUAUACCCUUAAAAAGAUUAUUGUUCAUUGCCAAUAUUUUUUUGCCAAGGGUAAUACGUGGUGACUCAAUGGAAAUCAAUAAAAAAUCAUUUAUUAUCAUUGGCAAAGGCGCAUCGACAAUGGAACCUGUGUUACGGGUAUGCACGUGAUCGAAUAGAAUUUUAAGAUUACAAGGUCAAGCCUAUUUAAUGAAGAAUCACGUCACGUUGAAGGACAAGAAAAAAGACUGUAAAAAUUUUCAAAAAGAAAAGAAAGCGAGAAAUAAGAAUGAAAGGAGACAAAUCGUCGAAAAAAAAAAGAUUUCUCAUCGUACGACGCUCAUCGAACGAUAUCAAUUUUUUGAGAGCAAGACGACAUAAUAAAAAAAUUUAUUAAUUCGACUCAAAAUUCGACUGUGAUAAGAAUAUGCGAAACGAAAGAUUCCGCGGUAAGACUGAAAAUGAAAAAAAAAAAAGCGUCGAGUACGUCGCAAAAAAAAGUCACGCAAAAAAAUCGUAUUCUACGCACAAUUGGCAAAAUUGUAAAUUCCAAAUAAAAAAAAAAAGAACACUAUUGGCCGAUCCAUGAAACAUUCCUCCAGCAAUUGGAUUCCCGUUCUCUUUGUGUGUGGCUACGUUUAUUUUUCACAAAAUCAUUGACGUCAUCGAAUCAAACACGUCACAAAUAUCAAGAGCGGUCAAAAACUGCUAUUGCUAUCGAUCAUUCGUUAAGUAAUGCAAUGGUGGGUGGUAAAAAGAGAUAAAUAAUUAAUUUUACCCAGAUCAAAAAAAAAUUCAAAAAUUUAUCUUACCACUCUGUCACCGAUGGUUUUUAAUUUUAUUUUUUAUUCAACUGUGACUACUCGCUGUACGAUCGGCACUGUGCGCGUACAAUUUUGCCGGAAUCAAACUAAUUGAUAAUCUUCUGAUUCGCGUGCAUGAAAUAAAAAAAUGUAUCAAGAGAGUCGCGUUAUGACUCUCGUUGGAUUUAGAACGACUGAUAGAUUUAUCUGAUAGGUGUUAUAACCGUGGUCGGGAAAAACGUAAAACGUGACUGCAUUCUUCUAACUAUAAGCUUUAUGCUUAUAUAGGCGUAUAUAUAUAUAUAGAUAUAUAUAUAUAUAUAUAAAUAUAUACGCAAAUAUGUACAGUACGAUAGGUUAAGUAGGUAUGCAUAUCGAGGGCAUCUCGACAUCGUGCGGACCACUGAUAUCCUGCAGGGUUCAGAUACGCUCGUUGGAGGAACGGUAAAUUUAAAAAAAAAAAAAAUCGAAAAAAUUAUAAAAAAUAGAAAAUAAAAAAAUAACGUAGAGGGACUGGGGUCCUCGAAUUGCGAAGUGGAAAUUACGUCUAGUAACGUCGAGUUUUUACGGAUUCGAAUUUAUUCUCGACGAAUCUCUUCGAUUUACAUUUUUUACAUUUUUUUGCUUUUAAUUCGCGCUCACAAUCCUGGCGAAUAUUUUUCAAUUCGAAAGCUAAUAUGAUAGCUGUUAUGAGCUGACAAGCACCUAUGAUUCUAAUCAUAAAUGUAGAUUCUCCUUGAAACACGUGUGGACGAUUUGGAUUCGAAUUUUGAAUUCAUUAUACACUGAUUUUUUAAAAUUUUGAUUUUUUUAUAAAUAUUUUUUUUGACCAACAUUCAUCUCUUACAGUCAAAAUGUAGAAUUCGGUAUGGUAACUUCAAAAAUGUGUAUACUUUUCGAAUUUGCAUAACGCACCGUUUGUUUUUAUAAAUAGACGUCUGAAAGAAAUUAACCCAAGGACGUCACUUGCCAAAAUUUCGCCAUUAAAUGAAUACGCCACACAAAAAAAUGAAGGAAAAAAAAUUUGCAUGGUUAUUAAAGUGGAUAAAUAUUUUUUAUGGAAUAAAAAUUAAAACAAACAACAGAACUGGCGUCGGCGAAUUAAUCUCGAAGGAAUUUUCAAAAUUGAUAAAAACCCACUGCAUAACGUUAACGUGGCUCCCGACGAGCGGAACUUUAAUGGGGUACAAAAACGAAGUAGUCUCGAAGCGCAAAGUACACUUACCUUAGGGCAAAUAGCAUCCGCAAUUACGUAGCCCGCGGCUGUGAAAUUAUGGUAAACGUCCGGUAAACGAAUCAUUAAUGUCAAGCUGGAUAAGAUCAAUUCGAAGUAAAAAAAAAAUCAAUACCGGAUAACGAACAAAGCUUGUUCGACGGAGAAAAAUAUUUUUUUUUCCGAAACAAGUAAAAAUAAAAAUUUCACAAAACAUGUUUAAAAAAACGGCUACCGGGGUGACGUCGUAAAUCGAGAAAAUCCGCUUUUUCGAAUUGGUCGCUUGAAAAGAAAGUGGCUCCUUUUACAAAAGAAUUUUUUGUUCCCCUCAACAACCGAUAAACGUGAUCAGACUUACUUGUCCCAAUGUAAAUUUGCCUUUGUUGUCGCGCAAACACAUGCCAAACGCAGUAUGCAUUGAAUUGCCCGAGGCGCGUCAUUUCAAAUAAAACUAUUUAUUAAGAAGCAUGAUUCGCUGGACGGAUCGUCCUGUGAAUUAGCCUUAAGAAAUUCUGUAAAGCAUGUCUCCUCUCCAUCGAUAUCGAUUGGCACGCAGUGUGAGUGCACCUUAAAUUAUAGAGUACAGUCCCAAUGAGACAAGAACGAUCCUAUGCACGAGUUAUGUUGUUUUUUAUCGAUCCUACGUGAAAAGGAGAUAGCACGCGAUUGAGAUCCUCGUAAAAAAGCUAAAAAACAAAUAUUUAAAAAAAGAUGUCGCAUCAAAAAAAAAUUGAAGAAACUCGUUAAUAUAAUUAACAAAAAUUAUUAUUAGCCACAAUUUUAUUUCCGUGGUGUACCUAAAAUUGUGGGUACAAUUGUUUCGUUGAUGUCAUUGCGUUCUUACGAGGCCAAAAGAUUUCCAUAGCUAAAUCCUGGUGGGCAAGUUUUUAUUGACGCGAUGUAAGCGACGUGGCUGUGAAGAAAAUUCGUUAUUUAGAUUAUACAAGACGAUCAACGAAGUGGAAUCUAUCUACGAGGGUAGCCUUGAAAAUGUUUUGCGAGGGACGAUACUAUCGGGUAUGUAUAAGAUUUGGAAGUGGAGGUCUGCAGCGCUACCGUCGUCAGGCUGAGAAACUGCUAUAAGUUAUAGGCUAUAACGUGUUGUCGGGCAAGUGCACAAGGUGCAUGUCCUUAGUCUGCUAGAAAUCUGGCAGCUGCUUCUUUUGGGUCCAGAACCUGAUCGCUGGACGUUGUAUAGGAUCAGCUACGAGCUACGACGUGGAUGAAGACGAAGAGGAAGAAGUGUACUAAGAAAAAAAAAUAAAAAAGAGGGACGAGGAUGGGACUGAUGAGAAAGUGGCAGCGAGGGCAGCAAGGCCCAGAAAGAGGAAUCAGGGUGAUUAGGGAGAUGCAGGAGUUUGAAAAGGGUGUAUCGUGAGCGCCGUGUGGAAUGAUGGAUCACGCAUGCCGGUAGACGAAGUAGUUGCGGAGGGCCCCGAGAAGAUAAAGAAUGCCGGAGAGACGGUGGGGGCGCAGUGGCUAUGAGGCCCAAAAACCGGUGCACCGUCGCGGGAGCUGCAACGAGACGGAGCAGCAGCAGCUACAGAGCAGGAGCAGAGUCAGCAGCGUUAACAACACGGGAACGAAAGGGCCUUCUCGCCAGGUCCGCCACUGGGCCUCGAAGCUUCGAGGGUCCCAAACCAUCGAGAGAGCCCCCGGGCAUUAAGGCCCAAGUCUCGGACUCUUGCGUAUAUUCGCUCAGGCAACACCGAGCCCAAAGGAGAUGAUCUGUCGGCGCCGAGCAGCUUUGCUUGGCCUGUUAGAAACCGGAGAGGGGACUUACUAGGCCGUGGUGGGGGUAACGCCCUUGACUCGGACUCGGGAGUGGUGGGGGAGUGGGACCCCGUGGCCUUGAGUCCGGCCCGUCUCGUUGUUUAACAGCGUUUCUCAAUCGACUUCACCUUGGCUUUUCGAUCUUUAUUAUAUUUUUGUGUUAUGGAUGGGAGAGCAUCAUUUUUUUUUACAUUUUCGUAUCAUCGCCUUGCUCUUAACGAACUGUGACUUACAAAACGCUACGUGGACACGAGAUCGGGCAUAGACUGUGGCGUUAUAGUUUGGAAAUGCUACUGCCAUAUUAUUUUAUUUUUAUGCCCUUCUCGGCAGGACCGUUUGAACUUUGGGGAUCUGAUGGGAAUUGAAAUUUGACAAAGCGGAAAAUCUGUACUUGUCGCUCACCUUCUUGUAGAAGGUUAUACGUUUUUGUUUUUGGCUUCUGUGUAAAGGCAUUCACGAGAAGUGACGGAAUGGCGUUUCCUCUACGGAUUAUUCGCGCAACGUUAAGAGGCUGAGAUGUCGAGUUUUUGCCGAUAGGAAUCGCGCGGGUUCGUGUCGCGUCUCGCAAUAAUCGCCGUUGCGAUUCAUGAACGCGACGGUAACAUAAGGAACGCCGGCUGCCGUCGCACCGAGCGCUUUGGACAAGGAUGUAAGAAUCCUGGAGAAGCGGAUCCUGGAAGGAUUCCGCAUCUCAAGAAUGUACCGCGACGGAACUUCACGGUAGCAAUUUAACGCGUCACAGCCAGGAUUUAAAUAUUACAGUAAUCUUUAGUUUUUCGUACCUUAUUUUUCAAUCGGGCUGCUACGGAAGCGCGAAAUAAUUAACAUCGCGGAACAACGACAAAUGCGUAACCCGGAUUCCUUGGAUGGAAGAUGUAUUAUUGAAAAUUAUUAUAUGCACUAAUUUACCUAGGUUCUUGCGUUCUUUGCUAAAUUUUUUGCAUUUUCGAGAUUUCAUAAAGCGUAAUAAAAAUCAUUAAACUUCCAAGUAAUCGAGAGCAUUGAUUUAUUAUAUAUGUUAAAUCAAGCUAUAAAUUCUUAUCGAGCUAAAAUACUGUGUACACUUCUGACUUCGUAAAAUUCACAAAAAAAAAUUAAAAAAUUCGUAACUCCUCCCACCACCCCUCAUCGAUAUUCGUAAAUAUCUCUCGCUCGAGGGCCUGAGUAAAUGGAAUUUUUUUUUUUCGAAAGUCCAAUUCCACACAACAUGGCACCACGAUACGGCGUGGGUCGAUGCAAAAUCGAGGAAGUUGAGAACGGAACGCAUGACGUUUCCACAGGGGCGUUUAUAGUGAGGGCUCCGGGGCACCAACCAGUCCCAUUUACACGCUAGUGCGAGUGAGUGAGUCUAUUGCAGUGCGAGGGUGAAGAGAAGAAGUAAAAUAACAGGAGUAAAAGGUGAGAAGAAGAAAGGAAGAGAAUAUUUACAGAAAGGGAGAAGUGACGCCAUUGACGGUGGCGAAGAUAGUCGCCGAUACUCCGUAGCCAGGGACGUAGGAAGAAAGGGCUCCAAACGGGAUACCUUAAAAUAUCAACGCACUGCCUUGGGCACCUUAACAAAGCGUGUACGGCACUGGCCAUCCCGUAAGUAAGGAUUGGAUAAAGCGUCGAGAAGAGGAAAGAGCCUACCACUACCACUAUCCACCACAACAAUUCCUAUAUACGUACAGCGACAAUCCGUGCACUGACGCAGCACUAAAUUCCCUCUUAGAUUUUUUUAUUCGCCCCUGAAAUACCGGCUGACAGUACCACUCGGAACGAACCAGUUAAAUAAAAGAUGUCGGAAGAGGAACGUAUGUACAUACAACUAAUGUGCUUCAACACGCUGAACUUCCUUCCACUUGGCCUACUACUCUACUGAUGGUAGCUGUGAUGACUGCGAUGCGAACAAGCCAGACUAACGUAAACCGAACUGUCUUUCGCUCUUUGGGAAGAUGGGCUUUUUCUUUUUUACAGAAGACUUCCACUUCCUCCAUCGGAACUUUGUUUUUCUUUCCCUGCCGUCUUUACGAGACGGGGAUUCCCCUUCGGCCCUCCUGGCUACUUUUAACCAACAAAACGACACGAAAUCCUUUUGGUUACGGCAGUUCUUAACCGGCGUCAUUUGUUGCGUAACCGAUCAGAAAACUAAAUAAACACGACCGGCGAAUUCUAAUUCUCUUCGUAAUCAUCGUACUAAAGUUAUGUAUAGGUAUUUUAUUUCCGAGCUAUGUCUACGCUGACAUCACUUGCUACUAUACUGCUUUGCACUUAUACAAUCUGGUUAAUUCGUAUCGCUCAUUGUAAUACGACUUUAAGAUUUCGUUCGCCGGCACAGAGAGUGCGCCACUUGCUUACGUCCUAUGCGAACGCUCCCUUUAAAAUUCAUUUCGGCUUUGGGGCUAAUGCUUUUUAUAUCAUCAUUUUUUGUAUCUCCACAAUGAAAUAUAGGUAUCCCUGCGCUCGCAAGAACUUGUCUGUACAAACGGGUGAUCUGAUUCUCAUAAUUUUUUUGCGUGAAAGACGUAUCGUUUGUAUUACUGGAAAAAUUUAUUUUCAUUAUUUAGGUGUUGUCAGAAUUUUUGAAAUUUUACGAGUCACUCGACUGAUUUUCAAAAUCUUUGCUUAUCUUGUCUGCACAGUGAUCUGCGACAUGAUCGAAUUGAUUAGUGAUACGAUCAUUUACGAACACACAAGAUUUAUAACGUACGGAAAAGUACCCGUACAAACGGUCCUUUAAAGUGGCCUUCAAGAACACACGAGAGCUUCGUCGUAAUCGCAGAUACGAUUGGUGUUUCGUUGUGCCAAGAAAAAUUUUCGAACACAGUCCUUGCAUCCUCGACAGUGCAUCCAGCUACGAAGAAAGAUCGGCAAAGGAAAUACCAAAAUAAACAUUAAAUCCACAAUCAUUGAUUGAACUUCGUGAAAAGUAAUUUCAGAUAAAUUCACGUCGGAUAAAAAAGGGCGAGGUCCUUUAUUCUCACUUCGUUACACAUCGACCAAUCUCGGAUAUAUUCGCAUACGAAUACCCACCAGCCCGCCUAUACAGACAGAGCGCGUAAAUUCCAAGUAAAAAAAAACCUACCAAAUAUUCGCCAGCCACAAUUCCCGAAUCCCAAAGUGUCAACAUUCUCUAUAAACUUAACUGAACUUAAAAAAAAAACCUGAAAGAGUAAAUAAUCUGAAACAAAAAAAAACUGAUAAAUUUAAAAAAAAAAUUUCCAAAAACCCAUCCUCACCCAUUUUUUGUUCGAUACAACACGGAGGGACAAAUAACGUUCAAGGAAAUUCCGUCUCGAACAGCACAGACUGAGCUACGCCAAUGAAAUAGUGUCCGCCGACCUUCGAAUCGAAGUCUGGCCGUUUUUGUGCUCCGUGGCUGCAGCCUGGGAAGGGGGUCAGGAACGGAGAGCAGUACGUGCGGGCCUGACGUGUAUAUACACAGAUGGAUAGAGGCACGUCAGUGUGUGAGUUCAGUGGAAAAGGGGAUAAACGAGCCAAGAGAACGAGAAGAAAUCCCUUUAGGAGGGGUGAGUAGAAAGAGACGAAGGCAGGGAAUGAUGGCGGUGCUCGUAUAGGUACCUACUAGGUAUAUACGAGAGAGGGAUGCUGGAAGAAAGAAUGGUGGACCUUCCAUGGUACCAGACUAAUGCAGUUCUCGCAUCGAACUCGUCCCGCCUCGGGAAUAUAUUAUUAGUAUUCUAUGAACUGAAAAUCAUUUCUCGCUCGAGAAAGCAUUCAUUGGCUUAUCCGACUCAUUCGCUCAAGAUCAGGAGACUCGUUACGAAGAACAUAUCGGGUUACGUGGAAACACUUUUUUUUCUUCUUUGUUUUCUUACGAAAUUUUUGUAAGUAUUUUUCCUUCUUUUUCCCUGUCAUCUUUUUUUCCCCUCUUGCGUAUAGACCCUGCUGCUUAUCGAUUUACGACGCUCGCCCUUUGCCAUUUUUUGUGUCUAGUCGACCUAAGCUUUAGGAACUUUUCUUUUCCUGUUGUUUUCAUCCUGGAUUUUAGUAUGCUGCGUACUGUGUGAAACGGGAUUUUUCAAUGGACAUAUUAUUCGCGGGUGUCAGUGACGUGAAAUUUUUUAUUUACUCGCUCGUUCGGGACGUUUCGGAGAUACCGACUUUAUGCGUAAUUUCGACAUUUUUAUGUCAUUUUCACACGUUGUGAUAAUAUCGCCAGAAUUGUGAAUAGGAUUUGCGUGAUAAUUAAACGACAGAUUCUAUCUGGAUUAUUGUGGAAUACUUUGUAAUUCGAUCGAUGUGAACGAUUCGUACAAUGAAAAUGCACGAGGUUGCCAGAGAUAAUUUCUUCAAUUAAAUUUUGAUAUUUUCGACUCUUAUGUUAUUAAUUAAUGCGCGACCAUUGGGUUCAAAGCAAUAACUGCUGAAUCUUUUUUCUGGACAAUCCAGCAUAAACGAUCGUACUAAUAAUUUUAAUUUAUUACUACUUCAUUUUUUUAUUUUAUUUUUUUCUCAAAUUAAACCUUUUUCUUGUAGAUUUAAUUCGAAUCCAUCUCGAUAUGUUACCGUGUUUUAUAAAAUAGUCUUAGACUAUUUCAAGCUAGUUUAUAUACAUUUUCUUAAAAACAGACAGUAACGAUUUCCAAUGACUCAAGUGGUCCACAAUGCGCACGCACGUAUAAACUGCUUCGAUUUGAAUAUGAUUCGAAUUUGAAAAAAAAAAAACCAUAGCUCACAGUGAAGAAGAACGAAGUGAAGAAUUGCUCAUGACUUAAACAAAAAUGUUUAAGCUUUAUCUAUUCGCAUCUUAAACAAUCGUAUCUCGCGAGAUGAAUCACGAUGCUUUUUAUUUAAAAUUUAUAUAAAUUUUUUGUAUCAUGAAAGAAUUUCGUUGGCAUUCUCAUCCCUUAAACCAGUUUACUCAUCUUAUGGAUUAUGCAAAAAGUUCUUUAUGAUUUUCAAAAUUUCGCGAAUACCUUUGUCUCCCCACCCCGUUACCACCCACCUACCCCCCGCACCAACCCUGAACCCCUGAACGAUACGUACUACAGUGUGGCUUAUGGAACAGCAGUAUGAGAGAAGAAUAAGAGAAUUAAAGAAAGAAAUAAAAACUUGUGAAUCAAAUGAACGUUUAUGCGAAUGUUUGAGUCAGCCUGGAGUCGCGUUAAACGAAAGUCGCCCGAAUUAUAUCAGUUGGCGUCUUAAAGGCUUACUCACAGAAAUUAGUAACCAACUAACGAGCAACGUACACGAAGAAUCGAAUCUACACGGUGUACGAGUUGUCUCGAAAUUUUUUUAGUGAAAACAAAAAAUCGAUUGGCGAUAUAAAAAAAAAUUUUUUACACAAGCAAAAAGUAAAAGUCAAAAAGUCAAUACGAAAUUUUCGCGCGACUCGCGUUGGAUUCUUCGGCAUAAAUAGGUAGGUAAAUUAGAAAAUAAGUGCGAACGAAGUCUGGAAGUUAUGCGAAUAUUUAGUAUAUCGGACAUGAUUAUAAAUCCGUUUAGCGGAAAUGGUAGUCGUUUCACGCGCUGAAAACGUCCCUGAUAUUUGGGGUAGGGGAUAUAUAUGUAUAUCAUAUAUAUAUAUAUAUAUCAUAUACAUAUAUAUAUAUCUAUCUUUACGUGGCGAGGGGCCAACGAUAUAGACAAUGGAGACACCUUUUGUCUGCAACGAAUUGCAAAAGCAAAUCAUUUCGUGCGCAUGCGCGAACGCGGCACGAUUAAUAUUCGUUGUUCGUAUAACAAAGAGAUAAAAGAGACAGAGAAAAAAAUGGGAAAGAGAUAUAAUUUAAACAAUAGAGAUCACAUCGACGGUCUAUACGUAUCCUUUUCGUCCAUAAAUCUUCGAAUCCCUCGAGAAUUAAUUAUUUGUUACCUGUAACACAACUGUUCAGUGUUAAUCCCAGCCCCCCAGCCCUCUGGUGAUAACGAUAAAUGCCACAAGUGACGAAAGAGAUGAAAAAAACAAAGAAAGAGGGAAAAAACCGAUUUAAAUACGUUUGUUAAAUGCAUAUUGUUAUUAUUAUCACAUAAGAGCUAUUUAAAUCCAUAGCUUGGGCUGUCGCUCGGGACACGAUACGUCUGCGUCAAAAAUUUUUGUGACGUCAUCGCUUCUAUCGAGGUAGACAUUUAUUUUUUGAAAAAAAAAAUUGAAAAAAAACUUGAAAGAUUCUUCGUCGCAAUUUUCAAAAUUUCUUCUUAUUCUUUAUGCCGAUCACAAACAAUACUUACUGCAAGGAGUAGGGGGCGGGGGUCUAAUUAAUUUUGAAAAAAAAAAUGAUGACAAUUCUUAAGUGAUAAGCACGUUGGGUGAGAAGGAAGGGGCUGUAAAUGAAUUGUUUGUGAUUUUCGCAUAAGUAUUAUUGUCUUUCGUAGAAAUUGGAAUUUUGAAUGACAUUGCGAUUGGUGCUUGUUGUAAAUGUGGUACUUUGAUGGAAAAAAUGGCGAGUGACGUCGCAAAAAUUAAUGACAAGAUUUAUUGAUGCCCGAAUACGACAUUGACAAUGCCCAUACAUACGAAGUCUGUAAUCGAAAUGUUUUAUAUUUUUACACCGAACAAACAGUAUAUAACGUACAAUAAACAAUAAACAUGUCCUUCCAAUCGCAACCUCAAAUAACAAAUGUUAUAUUUUUAUUUUUGCAAUAACCCAAUAUCACAUCCGAUAUCUGAGCUAUACAGUAAACAUAUAGUGACACUUAGGAUAUUGGAAUCGGCUAGGAUUUCAGUUUUAUUAUCCGCAGGAAUCACAAGCAAUCUUACAGUCUCAUCUGAAACACGACAAUUUUUUGUGCAAUCGUAUAGAAAAGAGAAAGAGAGAGAGAAAGAGAGAGAGAGGAAAAAAAGUACCACGAUAUUUAUCGAUGUUACGGACAUUUUGUGAUCUGGACAAAAAAUAUCAUGAAUCGACUUUACGAACGCACGUCGGCCGUUACUUUAUUACGUCAUGACGGUUAACAGUCGUAUUUUUGUUUUUGCUAAGCGCGCAAUGAUUUUCGAAGUGAUUUUUAUUUUUGAGUUUUAUUUCGCAUUUUUGUAUUGUUUUUGGUUUAAUUUGGUUUUCCAUGUAUUUUUGUUGUUGUUGUCUCUUGGGAAUUCUUGUUCCUGAGUCUUACGGUCGGCGGUUAAAUUUUUUUUUUCUCUUUUUCCCCAAUAAAUUUUAUGGCAAUAUUAUCAAUGCAAUAACUUACACGAAAAAUUUCACUAGGAUAUUGUAUGCAUUACGUGCGUAAUACGAUCGUCGUCGAUGUUUCUUUCGUCAACGACGCCGAACCGGAUGAAAAUACGAGAGAGAAAUGAAAUGAAUGGAAGCAUUUUUCUUCAUCGUAUUUAAUUAUAUCGUAUAAGUAUCGAAUCAAAAGGAUAUUAUUAAAGGAUAGGACCGUAGCGUGCGCAGUCGCGGACUGCUGCAACUUUUAACAUUGUACCGAUUGUUUUAAUGUUUAAGAAACAAAAAAGGUGUAUAUAUGUAUGUAUUAUAGGUAUACAUAUACAGAGGUUUCCACGUUAUCGAAAUUGUUUUUCAAAUGCUUUCACCUACAAUGGCAGCCAUAAAACUCGUGCUUUUAAAACGUAGGGACGAAAAAGUGGUUAAGAACUUUUAAAUUCAAAUUCAACAUUUUUAUUGACUCGUUCGUGACGUAAACGCAUUUUUAUGGACGACAAUGCAUCUUUAUGCAAUUCGACAGCUGAUUAUAAUUUGAGGAUUCGUGACGUUCGAACGUACAUUAAAUAAUUCAUUAUUAUCGGCCGAUCGAUUCGAAAGAGCUGUCGGUAACUUAUCGACUGAUAGAAAUUUCAGUUAAAUGGAACAGGAAAUAAAGUUAACGGUUUAAAAAAAAAAUUUUAAAUCGACGAAGUUUACACAAUUUCAAUUAUGAAAAAUACAUAGAAUGUUGGUCGGGGAAAUGUAUCGAAGAUCAAUAUUAAAAAAUUAAUUAGGUUCAUCGUGGGAACAUAUGUGGAGGCAAUUUGCCGAAUAAAAUUAGAGCGAUAUUCAAUUGGCGACAGAGAAACGUGACAUCGGCGAUACUCACGAAAAAAGGAAACCCGCGAACAUACAAGUUGAUCAAAAAAAAUUUUCGCAAGGCUUCCUUUUAUCGGUCGACUAUUUCUGUACAAUCUUACGCGAGUCUCCUUUUAAUUUCUCAAUUGCAAGUUUGUGACCCAUUAAUAAAAAUUCGGUUAAACGGAACUAAGUGCGACAAGAAGAAGGAGAGGAAUAAAGAAGUGAAAAAAAGUAAAUAAAAAUUAAAUUGUAAGAUUAGGUAAAAAAAAAUGUUUAAUUCUCGAAAAUCGAGAUGUACGAGCACGUGCCUAAGUGGGGGAAGCCUAUGUAUUCUGUGAAUAUGUAAAUUAGCACUCGUCGUGCAAAUCGCCAUUUUGAUUUCGUCGGGAAUCGGGAAAUCGUCGAUACCACGCGAAUUUCACGUGGUACCAGGGUUAUGUUGCUGCCGUCACAAGCUUUGACAGCUGUGAAAAAAAAUAAAUAAAGAUAAUCGUGAUUCAAUUCCAUGAUUUUCAUUGGAAGCGCAAGUGUUUGUACGACGCAUGCGCAGUUACUUGGAAACCCCUAUAUAUAUAUUUCAAAGACGUGUCCAUGAAAAGAAAAGAGAAAAAAAAUCGAUGAGUGUUUUAUGUGUACUAAAAUGUUCCCUUUUAUUCAUACUAAGACUUCAAAAAUCGUAUUAAGUAUUAUACAUUAUUACUUGUAUAUAAAUAUGUGAUACAAAUAUAUAUAUAUAUAUAUAUAUAUAUCUAUUUAUUAUAGUUUUUCGUUUGAUAUUCACUAUUUAUACGUGACGUUCUUUUUUCUCAUCGUUUUCUUUAACGCGAUAUUUCACGAAAAUAGAUGCAUACGAUUUGUCUUCAGACACCGUCAAAUGUUGACCACACGUUAUUAAAGUUUAUCAACUAUUAUUCAUAAAACAUUAACAAGAACAAUUUUGUAUUAUCUCUUGUAUACAAUAGCCAGAUACGUCCAUUAAGGAUUGUACGGAAACAAAAGAUUCUUCUAGGCUCGUUUAGUUCGUUUGUCGUAAAAAAGAUUGUGUGUUCAAAUAAAGUUAUGGAGAAAAGAAAAGAAUGAAGCACGUAACGUGCGUAAUUACGCCGCGUACUCAUCGCACGAACAUUUCGAACGGCGAAUUGUGAUGGCAUUAGUAUACAUUAUAUAUACUAUUGUUUCUUUGUCGCAUCAUCGAAGGAAGCAAGCAUGUGGUAUAAUUAAGCUCGAUUAAUUGAUUUUAUUCGUACGCAGAUACACAUAGCUAGAUUCCAUACGUCAUUCGUUCAAGCGAGAUUCACCGUCCCUGACGUUUUUUCCUAUGAUUCUGUCAACGGCUUUUUAUAGUGUAAAAUCAACUGAAAAGCAGUGCGCACGAAAGCGAGGGAUCUUUUAAAAUGACUCGUUCAUAUCUUGUAAAAAAAAAAGACACAAAUAAACCCAACAAGAAAAAAAUACCGGGAACGACCUGUUUCUUCUUGGAGGAAAAUAAAGACUUGGUGAAAAUCCAGAAAAUUUCCAUAUU
This is a long non-coding RNA of Cephus cinctus (wheat stem sawfly), 16135 nucleotides long. RefSeq lists it as uncharacterized. The record is from RefSeq and is a predicted model, not a curated record. Lineage: Eukaryota; Metazoa; Arthropoda; Insecta; Hymenoptera; Cephidae. The transcript has 2 exons.